RNAcentral lists this ribosomal RNA (491 nucleotides) under uncultured bacterium. RNAcentral's name for it is "partial 16S ribosomal RNA". It matches the Rfam family "Bacterial small subunit ribosomal RNA", at positions 29 to 507 of the family's 1533-position model. The record is from RNAcentral.
AGUGAACGCAGGCGGUAGGCCUAACACAUGCAAGUCGAACGGCAGCACAGUAAGAGCUUGCUCUUACGGGUGGCGAGUGGCGGACGGGUGAGGAAUACAUCGGAAUCUACUUUUUCGUGGGGGAUAACGUAGGGAAACUUACGCUAAUACCGCAUACGACCUACGGGUGAAAGCAGGGGAUCUUCGGACCUUGCGCGAUUGAAUGAGCCGAUGUCGGAUUAGCUAGUUGGCGGGGUAAAGGCCCACCAAGGCGACGAUCCGUAGCUGUCUGAGAGGAUGAUCAGCCACACUGGAACUGAGACACGGUCCAGACUCCUACGGGAGGCAGCAGUGGGGAAUAUUGGACAAUGGGCGCAAGCCUGAUCCAGCCAUACCGCGUGGGUGAAGAAGGCCUUCGGGUUGUAAAGCCCUUUUGUUGGGAAAGAAAAGCAGCAGGUUAAUACCCCGCUGUUCUGACGGUACCCAAAGAAUAAGCACCGGCUAACUUCGUG